GCCGGGGUGGUGGAAUGGUAGACACGGGGGACUUAAAAUCCCCAGGUUGAAAGACCGUGUGAGUUCGAGUCUCAUCCCCGGCA
Molecule: transfer RNA, 83 nt
Filed under: Spirochaetaceae bacterium
Lineage: Bacteria; Pseudomonadati; Spirochaetota; Spirochaetia; Spirochaetales; Spirochaetaceae
Description: tRNA-Leu
Rfam family: tRNA
About the family: Transfer RNA (tRNA) molecules are approximately 80 nucleotides in length. Their secondary structure includes four short double-helical elements and three loops (D, anti-codon, and T loops).
Source: RNAcentral